RNAcentral lists this ribosomal RNA (478 nucleotides) under uncultured bacterium. Its description in RNAcentral is "partial 16S ribosomal RNA". It matches the Rfam family "Bacterial small subunit ribosomal RNA", at positions 28 to 523 of the family's 1533-position model. The record is from RNAcentral.
GACGAACGCUGGCGGCGUGCCUAACACAUGCAAGUCGAGCGAUGAAGCUCCUUCGGGAGUGGAACAGCGGCGGACGGGUGAGUAACACGUGGGUAACCUGCCUCAUAGAGGGGAAUAGCCUACCGAAAGGGAGAUUAAUACCGCAUAACAUAACUUUAUCGCAUGGUAGAGUUAUCAAAGGAGUAAUCCGCUAUGAGGUGGACCCGCGGCGCAUUAGCUAGUUGGUGAGGUAACGGCUCACCAAGGCGACGAUGCGUAGCCGACCUGAGAGGGUGGUCGGCCACAUUGGAACUGAGACACGGUCCAGACUCCUACGGGAGGCAGCAGUGGGGAAUAUUGCGCAAUGGGGGAAACCCUGACGCAGCAACGCCGCGUGAGUGAAGAAGGCCUUAGGGUUGUAAAGCUCUGUCAUAUGGGAAGAUAAUGACGGUACCAUAAGAGGAAGCCACGGCUAACUACGUGCCAGCCGCCGCGGUAA